GGAGAGGUACCGAAGUGGCCAACCGGGGCAGACUGUAAAUCUGUUGGCGCAAGCCUUCGAUGGUUCGAAUCCAUCCCUCUCCACCA
This 86-nucleotide transfer RNA is filed under the name Deltaproteobacteria bacterium. RNAcentral's name for it is "tRNA-Tyr". It matches the Rfam family "tRNA". Rfam says of the family: Transfer RNA (tRNA) molecules are approximately 80 nucleotides in length. Their secondary structure includes four short double-helical elements and three loops (D, anti-codon, and T loops). Lineage: Bacteria; Pseudomonadati; Myxococcota; Myxococcia. The record is from RNAcentral.